AGGUUGCAGUUACUUUUUUUUGUCGUACCUUUUGCAUAAUGAGGCAGCAAGCUAAUUUUUAUAGUGAGCUUAAAAUGAUUGUAGGCAUAGUGAAAGCAAAAAAUAACUACUUGAUUAAAAUUAUAAAAAUUAAGCCCGAAACCAAGUGAUCUCAGUGUGGGCAGAAGUUUAAUCGUUCGAACUUAAGUACGUUGUAAAGUACUAAGAUGACCUGCAUUUAGGGGUGAAAGGCUAAUCAAACUUGGAUAUAUCUGGUUUUCUACGAAAAUUGUUUAAGCAGUACGUUAUAUUAAAUAGAGUUAAGGGUUAGAGCACUUUAAAGUUGAUGGGGCUUAAUUGACUUACUAAUACUUAUAAAACUUAGAAUACUUAUUUAUAUAACAGUCAGAUAUAUGGUGAAAAGAUCUUAUAUCAAAAGGGACACAGCCCAGAUUAAAAACUAAGGUGAUUGAAUGUAAGUAAGUGAAAAAAAUAAUAAUUUACAAAAACUAUUAAUAGGUAGGCUUGGAAGCAGCCACCCUUUGAAGAAAGCGUAACAACUCAUUAAAUUUAUGUAAAUUUAUUAUUUAUAAUUAAGGACACUAACCUACUUAACCGAAUUUUUAAAUUAGUUAAACUAACUAAAGGUAGUAGAAUAUUUUGUUUUGGA
Molecule: ribosomal RNA, 649 nt
Filed under: Ctenophora environmental sample
Lineage: Eukaryota; Metazoa; Ctenophora
Description: partial Bacterial large subunit ribosomal RNA
Rfam family: Bacterial large subunit ribosomal RNA
Source: RNAcentral